Pan troglodytes (chimpanzee) is the source of this 3451-nucleotide RNA transcript. It is a transcript of the gene named cilia and flagella associated protein 221, with no coding region annotated. The transcript is spliced from 26 exons. NCBI's taxonomy places the organism in Eukaryota, Metazoa, Chordata, Mammalia, Primates, Hominidae. The record is from RefSeq and is a predicted model, not a curated record.
GGCCCGGGAACCACCUCCAGGGUGAGCGGCCAGGGACCUGGGGCCCGGGUGGCCCAGGGUCGGCCGCUGGGGCGCCGCAGCCUAGCUGCUGAGGCGACCGAGCCCCGGGUGGUGUCCAGCCGCAAGUCGGCCGCGGCUUGGGUCCGAGUAGAGUCGGGCCCAGAGGGUGACAUGAGGAUGGUGGGGGGAGCGGUGCGCGGGCCUGGGGCGACCCUGACCCUUAGCAGGUGUGGAAUGAAAGGUCGCGGAGGGGAGGAGGCGCUUGGCCGGGGACAUGACCUUUGGCUCUAAAAAGAAGACUCCAUUUUUCAUGAUAAAAUGGCAGCGGUGAAAACCCCCAGCAGAGGACUAAAGAAUGCUAAAGAACCCUUUAAUAAUGCAUCACCCCAUCUCUUGAAGAACCUAGUGGAGGAACCGAAAAAAAGAAAAGAAGUACCUAAUCACCUCCUAGAAUCAAAGGUUUAUGCAAAACUUGUGAAUAAUAAGGUCAUACAGGCAAGACCUGGCAUAAUACAUUUUGGAGGCUAUCAAGUAGAAAAACAACACCAACAGAUUCUGCAUCUGGUCAAUGUUUCCAAUGAAGACACACGUGUUCAUAUUUUACCCCCGCAAACCAAAUACUUUGAGAUCAAUUAUGUAAGGAAGGAACACCACCUGGUCCCUGGCUUGUCCCUCACGGUCACCGUUACAUUUUCUCCAGAUGAGUGGCGAUACUAUUAUGACUGCAUCCGUGUUCACUGUAAGGGAGAUGACACUUUGCUUGUUCCUAUUCAUGCCUAUCCGGUCAUGAACUCACUAGACUUUCCUUCAUUUAUAAAUCUGUCAAAUGUUCUACUUGGUGAAAGCAAAACUUAUGUUAUUCCUUUGCAGUGCAGCUGCCCUGUAGAUUUUGAGUUUUACAUCACUUUGAUUCAGUCUCAUCAAGCCUUUGCUAUUGAGCCAACAUCAGGAAUAAUUCCGGCUAAUGGGAAGAUGACUGUGACUAUUAAGUUUACACCCUUUCAGUAUGGGACUGCACAAAUAAAAAUGCAGUUAUGGAUUUCGCAGUUCAACUCUCAACCAUACGAAUGUGUCUUCACCGGAACGUGCUAUCCCAACAUGGCCUUACCAUUAGAAGAGUUUGAAAGGUUGAAUACCCUUUCUAAGAAAGUAAACGUUCCUCCAGAAAAAGCAAUGAUGCAUAUAAAUUUUCACCGACCGCCAGCGAAGCCGAAGCCUCAGAAGUUGAAGGAAAUUGAGUACCAGAACCUCAGAUUUCCAGUAGAUUUAUCGAAUCCAUUUGCUGUGGCAACUGUUUUAAACCAAGAACCAGGAAAAUUGAAGAUUAAAGAAUUAAGAGAAGUUUUGGACCAGGGCACUGAAAUUUCAAAAACGAGACAGAUGAAGGAGGCACUCUUUGAACAGAAAGUCAGACAGGACAUUCACGAAGAGAUGGAAAAUCAUCUUAAGUGGCAGGUGCACCUUGGUAAAGAUCCUAUGUCUUUUAAACUUAAAAAAGAGCUUACUGAAGAGUGGCAAAAAGCAUGUGCCAAGUAUAAGCUAGACAGAGGAGAUCCUAUUUUGGAUGAGGAAUUUCAGCGACUUAAAACAGAAGUUAGCCAUAAACGGGUCGUUCGCAAUCAAGAAGAGAAAAUCAAGGAAUUUCAUCCUACUUUUGAUCCACUCAUUAAUAACACUUGGCUCAGCAGGUCCAGGGCACAAAAACGGUUUCAACAAGUAGCACGCAAGGUCAUGAUUCAGGGACGAUUAUUCAAUAUGCUGAGUGCUGUUCGUGAAAUGGACAAAGAGAGUAUACUGAGAAAGAUUGGCCAAGCAAAACAAUCGAUAGCACAAGAGGCGAAUUUCUUCAAAUUUUUCCUGAGGCGGAUCAGUCAGGAUGAUUAUACCAGCCGGUUCUCUGUGUCGCCCAAGGAGGUGCUGCCCUUCGCUUUCCCAGACUGCAGCCCACCCCAGGACUCCAACGAGUUGGCUCCUGAUGGCCUUGGACUGGUCCCAAUUAAGUCUUCAGAAGUUCAAAUCAAGCAGAGUUAUUCCUUCUUCAGUCUGCAGGUUCCUCAACUGUACAAAAUUAAGAGAUAUCAGCCAUUCUCUGUCCACAAGUCUUCAACAAGUUACAGACCUCAAAAGCUUGCCCGAGCCCUAAAGCAAGGAGCUGAGGAUGAAGUCACCACCAUCAUAGCCCUUCCGAAACAGGACUCCACAACUCAGCUCUCUGGCAAGACAUCAAUCUUGAGCAUGAAACCACCUGAGGCCUUAGCCAUGUCUCUAGAUUAUGAUCCUCUGUAUGUUUUUAAUCCCAACCCAGGAUUAUUUGCUGUAAUGCAUCCUCUGACCUACGCAGAAACGUUGAUAGAUUACCAUCUAUGCUCUCACCCCAAGUACAAAUUCACCAAAGAGUCCCGCCACGGGUCCAGCAUUCCUGUCACCCAAAAGCAGUUUCUCCAUCACACGGACAUUAUUCCCGGAAUAAUGCACUGGAAAAGCUUCCAGUCCCUGGUUCUCUCCUCCCUGCCGGACCCCUCCAAGAUGGAGACCACAAAGAGCAUAUUUCUAGAAUGUCAAAUCUCCAGAACUGGCGGGAACAAUGGCAUGGAAGAGAGAAGGAAAGCUUUGGCAUGGGAGAGACCUGCCUCCAUUGUACACUGGAUGUAUCACCAGUUCAGUCCUUGGGCGAGCUACGUACUAAUGAAGCCCUUCGAGCAAUAAUCUCCUCCUCUCUGAGGGAGAGGCAGUGAUGGCAUCCUCACAUUUGUGUGUGUGUGAGGAUAAAAAUGCAAUGAUCUUGUGAAACGUCUAGCAUCAUGCCUGCUGCGAUUCCUUCAAUUCAUUUAUGCUUCCGAUAGACGUCCCUGCCAUUCUUGAUGCCUUACCAGAAGAGGACAGACUAGAAACAGUAGAACGACUUCUGAAGCCUUUGUUGCCCUUUGAUGAUCUUGGAAGCAUUUCUCUAAUUGAGUGUGGUGGAGAUGGGUGCUGUCAAAAAAUUCGUUGUCCUGUUCUUCUAAAGUCCUAGAAUCACUGAAACUAGAGGCUAAGUUUCCCAGCCUCCCUUGCAUGAGCUCUGUGAGCAGAAUGUAGAAGUUAUGUUGACUCCAGAAAUGAUCAAAGUGGAAUUCCCUAUGUUGAACUACAAGGACAUCAGGAAGGAGAAAGAAGUGAAAGAUCAAGCACAACCAGCAGAGAAGGCCGGAGAGAAGCUGCUCGAGGAGAUGAGGAACCUGCGGGGCAAAGCACUCAACACAUACCUGAUUCUAGAAUGAAAGUCACCAGUAGGUCAGUCCCUUCCAUUUGCUUUCUGCGGGCCACUGUGGCCCCUUGCGUCCAUUUACAUGCCAGCCAUCUCUGCAAUUAAAGUUUCUGGAUAAAAAAAUGAAAUGUAGAGGAUGUAUAUAUCUUUUAAGUGAUAAUUAUAAAUCUUAUAUUUAAAAAUAAAAUGGAGUUAGGAUGAUGA